This 4448-nucleotide small RNA is filed under the name Rattus norvegicus (Norway rat). RNAcentral's name for it is "uncharacterized LOC100911553". The record is from RNAcentral. Lineage: Eukaryota; Metazoa; Chordata; Mammalia; Rodentia; Muridae.
CUGUCUCCUGGGUACUGGGAUUAAAGGUGGGCACAGCUAUGACUGAUGUCAUCACUCCCUACCUAUCUUUUUAAGAGCUACUCCAAGUGGGCCUGUCAAUCACCUGAGGAGGAACAAAAGUACCAAAACAAAAACCAAACCAAACCAAAGGUCUGUUCUACAGACAUUUGUGCUUUAAACCCUUCCUAAAAAUGUAGGCUGGCACCAUGAAUCUCCUUGGCCAGUGCCUGUUCUGGCCCCUUGUGAGCUGGUUUUUAUGCCAAUGGGUCUCUUUGGCCACUGUUUCUCUCUCCUUUGGGUGACUUCAUUUUACAAUAGUGCAGCCCAUUUAUCGUCCUUUGACAGUGUGCUCUUGUGUGCCUCAUCUGAAUUCUCUCAUUGACACACAAAUGAAGAGCUUGGGUGAGUUCAGACGUAGAGCCAAGGGACAAAAAGGUGGUUUGAGGAUACAAUAAAACAAUUUAUGUAACUCUCCUGGGUUAUUUUGGAUCUUGACAAGUAGAAACUAGUGUCGAUUUUACACAAAAGCAAAGACUGAGCCUGCUCAUCACAAAGGAAGGAGAAUAAAUAUAUUCUGUUUGAAAAGAAAUUCAGGGCAGUUAGGAAUGGGCAGACUCGCUAUGGACAAUAGCACAAGCAUAGGGUCCCAGCAGUCAGGAGGCCGAGACGUGUGGAUGGAGUUGCCUAUCAUCCUCAGCCACACUGGGUGUUUAAGGACAUCUUGGGUUACAGCCCUUUCCUCAACAAAACAGCAGCGAGCAUGAAAAACAAAACAAAACAAAACAAAAUCUAACUUCCCCAGGGGGUAAAAAGGCCCACCUGGGUUAGAGAUCCCACAAGGCUGGCUGAAUUCCCAAGAUUGGAGAUGAAAUGUUACGGGUCCAGAGCGAGAGUAUCUUGUGCUAUCUUUAGAAGAGCAGAGAACACUGCUCAUCAAAAGCAGCACGCAGAUCGACCGACUAGUAUGGAGAAGCUUGAGAUUUUUCGGGGGGUGGGGGUGGGGAUGAAAACUGAUACAGAAGGAAAUGUUCAGAAAACCUAACUUUUUUUUUUUUUUUUUUUUUUGCUUAGGACGGUUAGUAGUGUUGUCAGAUCUAGAAUCAUGUAGGAGAUGGGCCUCUGAGUAUAUCUGUGGGGGAUCAUUCUGACUACAGUGACUGGAAAGGACACACCUAAUGUGGGAAGAGAUCCUGGACGGUACAAACUUGAAGACAAUGCGCUAAGCAUAUUAAAAACUCGGGCAUGGUGGCGUUUGUAAAUCCCAGUGCUGGGGGUGGGGGGGCAGAGAAGGCUGGAACUUGAGGGCUCUAAAGCUAGCCAGUUUAGUGUAAUUGGCCAGUCCCAGAUUAUCAGUGAGAGACUGUCUCAGAAGCCUCCUGGAGAGUUACUUCUGGUGUCCGCAGGGACCUGACCUGUGCUCACACUUACAAACAUACAUGCACACACACUCGAAGGCUGACACAAAAGCAUCCGUUAUGGCCAAUUAUCUACUUGCUAAACGGAACACAAUGGAACUCGCAUCACAUGUGAAUUUAUUGUUAUUCAACAAAUUCUGACGUAAGAAAACGCGACCACUUUGCCUACUUUUCUCCUCAGUGUGCCUUCAACAUGGUAUGACAGACUUUCACAAACAGGGGUGGCAAAGUCACCAUCUCUGGAAUUUCUUACCACACCUCUGAAAGGCUGAGAUCAUUGGCGUCCGUUACCAAGUCAGACGCCUAAUAAACCGCAAGAAGAAAGUUGUUUGAGUAACGUCACUCAAGCCGGAAGGCAAACGCUGAGCGCCAAACAGGUCCGGUUGCGCACGUCCGGCGAUGUGCCGCCGCCCCACCUUUGCAGUCCCGCAGUAGAGAGCCUCGGCUCGGCCGCUGUGUUUGCCCACGCGGCCGGAGGACAGGUCGCGACACUGCACCGGCGCUCCCUAAGGCUGUACCUUGUACAGAAACUUUCGUCUACCCUGCCCAGUGAAGUUCCCUCUCCCGGGCUCACGUGAGAGCUUGAGUCGCGGUAAACUCAGUUCCGCCUGAGGACUGGGCGGCCUGACCGGAAAGGCGGGGUUUGGACGCGCUGAACUCCUUCCGACUACCUAGCCAAUCGCAGGCCAGCUGUGUCGCAGCAGCCAAUAGGAGAGGCCCGGCGCCUUUUGGGCCUGCGCAGGCAGGUUCCCUCUUGCCAUUCUGUCCUCCUUUUGUUAGAGUUCGGCUGUGCCUUCGGUCCUUACCUACUGGUUCGCAAUCCGGCGCCAUCGCGCUUUGGGCGAGCAUGGUGAUGGGGAGUAGCGAGGUGGGAACCGAGCUGACGUCUGUCUGGUCUUGGCGACCGUGGCGCGCGACCGGGAGGACUGGCCGGAGCAUGUCUCCAGGAGACGGGUCAAUGGUGCGGAGGUGACGCAGGAGCUCUUGGUGUGACCUGGGCCUAUGUAUGAUACCACAGGAGCUUGACCGAGGAUGCUCUGGUGUUUUAAUAAGUGACCCCUUUUUCUGAAGAUGUUGGGUGGUUAAUGAAAGAAGGAAUUGUAUUCUUGGCGAUGUCUGAAAGAAAUGUGUGGCUUUGAAAGAAGAUUAUGAAAUAUACAGGAAAGGAGUGAAAUCAAAGGAUGUUUUUCCAUGAUAGAGUAAUGUUUACACAUGUAUUCAGUAAUGUGAAGAUUUAUAUAAGGUAAGGGAUUUGUAAACUUACUAAGUUGUUUUUUUGUUUUUUUUUUUUUUUUUCUACUUCAUUUUUUUCCUUUUUUCACUUUUCAGCAGUAAGAAGAACUAAGUUCUUUAUGUGAGCCGGACUUCUAAGUUACUAGGCUGGUGGCCUUCAGCUCUAAUUUUAAUUUACAUCAGUCUUUCAGGGACCUGGGAUUUCCAUGAUUGCUGGCUUGGUUUUUCCCCAGAGUCCUGAUGUGUAGAAAUAACUUUGAGGGGAUACAACCAGUAGGAAACGUGGCUGGGGAUCAGUGUAACCGAACCUGUGGCUGUGUGAAAGCCAGUAACUGUUUCCCUGAUGUCAUCUAUGCCUGAGCACUUUCUUUAUGUGUGGAAGAAGGUAUUUGUGCCCUGGCCUCACUGCCUCCGUAAUGUCAUCCAGACCAGCAGACACCCAGACCAGCAGACACCCAUUAGUUAGUUGGAUUAGGAGUCAGUGCUGGAUGGCAUGGCUGUACAGAGGGUACUCUUCCGUGGCCUCUUAGCUGGACCAAAUGGACAGGUGGGAUUUUACAACCACCAGUAAAAGGAGAACUGGUAGGGUGACAGCUAAAGGGGUUACUUAGCUCCUUCUAAAUGAAGAAUGUCACUUUGACAUUAGGAAGUUGGGGAUAAUCAGAGGUAUGGCCCAGCAGUUAAAGAAAUACUGCAAAAGGGAGCUAGCUAGUCCUCAGUUCAGUGUUCUAGCUCCUUCUGUCAACAGUCCUCUCCUUAUGGCACACCUGCCUGCCUGCUGGCCUGGUGUGUGUCUUCUCAUCUAGAGAACCUGAAACUACAGAUACUUCUAAAAUCAACUGGGAAGCAAAACCAUAAAAUCAGCAAGACAGUUGGUUCACAACAACCUUUAUGUCUGCCAAUAAUGGAAAAGUAGAAAGUUCUAUGACAAAUAGCCUAUAAAUGUUGAAAAAUAAAAACAAAAUGACCCCUAGACUGGAGCCCAGGCUCUUCUAUUACAGGGAGACCCCCGUCCCUCUAAUGUGUCCUCCCUCUCUGGGGCCCAUGCCUCAUUCCUUCUCUAACAAACCUGUUCUUCACACAGGCCUGGUGACCUCAGUUAAUUCCUGGGAUCCACAGUGUGGAAGAAGAGACCUGACUCCUGAAAGUUGUCUUCUGACCACAUAUACAUAAUAAGUAAACAAAUGUAAUUUUGAAAUCUCAAAAUAGUAAAGUUAAAAAACAUAAGAAUGCUGCUGUUUUCUGAAAUGUAAGCAUGAUGCAAAGGACUUGUGACAGUUUUGUUUAAACUUUAUCUUCUUGAAAUGAGAAAGGGAUUAAACUGUCAAAAGAAUUAAACUCUUUGUAAUUCUUUCCCUUUUUGUAAAGAUUUAUUUGUAACGGUAAUGCCGUCUGCAGUGCCCUCGGUGAGGCUGGAGUGACAGGCAGCUGUGAGCUGUGUGAGAUGGGUGUUGGAAACUGAACUCUCCUGCCUCUGGAUGAGCAGUAAGCUCUCUUAACUACUGAGCCGCCUCCAGCCCAGCUUUGUGAAAAUGAAUUUGAAGUCUUGCGUUGUGGAGAAAAAGCAAGAGUGCGUGCUGUGCUGGAAUGUUGUGACUGUCAAUGAACUGAAACUUCCUGUCCGAGUUGCUUUCUGUGGAGGGCUAGCUCAGACAGGUGACCUCAUGCACAUUCCUCAAUGCAGGAAGCACAUUAAAUGACGUAGCUACCUAAUAAAAAUAGCCAGUUUGUCGUCCCUGUGCCACUGCCUUAGCUGCUGCUUGCUCAUUUGUACUGUAAUAAUAAACAGUUUUCUCCUGC